RNAcentral lists this long non-coding RNA (577 nucleotides) under Nicotiana benthamiana. RNAcentral's name for it is "long non-coding RNA (NBEN_LNC030317)". Lineage: Eukaryota; Viridiplantae; Streptophyta; Magnoliopsida; Solanales; Solanaceae. The record is from RNAcentral.
UUUAGGUAUUUUUAUACUAAGAUUUCAUAUUGAAUUGGCAGUCUUCGUACUAAGAAUCCAGCUUUCAGGGAGAGAGAUAGGCUGAUUUUUCAGAACUUGAAAUUCAGUCCUUGAGAGCUAAAAACUGAAAGUGAAGCCUUUUCUUUACUGUUGAAAAUCAGAACUCUGGUACUGCUUCUGUGGAUUGUAUUUGGUACUACUGAUUUUCACAUUGGCUUUCCUGGGUAUUCUGUUUGGUUUUUGAGUAUUGUUUCAUUGAGUUCCUAGGUUUCUGCUUGGGUUUCUGGUCUGCACUGGUUUUCUGCUACUGUUAUAUUGGUUUUUACUAUCUCUGGUGCAUCUGUGUUGCUGUUUGGUUUUUUGAAACUGUUAUUGGUUUUCCUGGGAACUGUUCUGUUGGGUUUCUGCCUAUUGCUGGUCAAUCUACCUGCUAUUGUUAUUUCACCUGCUGAUCCUCCUCUUCUUCCUCUAUUAGAAUCAGUUGUGUAGUCUUGUUUUUAAAUUCAAUGGAAAUAUGGAUUGUAGAGUUAUGCAGUUGAAUGGAACUGUCUUCUUUUGUUUAAAAUUGCAAUCUGUA